This 17-nucleotide ribosomal RNA is filed under the name Stellaria vestita. RNAcentral's name for it is "partial 28S ribosomal RNA". The record is from RNAcentral. Lineage: Eukaryota; Viridiplantae; Streptophyta; Magnoliopsida; Caryophyllales; Caryophyllaceae.
CCCAGGUCAGGCGGGAU